This 635-nucleotide non-coding RNA is filed under the name Pongo abelii (Sumatran orangutan). The record is from RNAcentral. Lineage: Eukaryota; Metazoa; Chordata; Mammalia; Primates; Hominidae.
GAACACAAAAUGGCGACACGUGGUUAGCAUUCGUCGCCAACGAGAAAUUGGGGUCGGCCCGAAAGCUCUAGAAUGCACCCCUAUUCCUCCCCGGGGCCAUUCCCGCUCAACGAGUUUUAUGACCUAAAAAACCCCACAGGCUGGUCUGAAGAGGAAGACACUUAAAGAUGAAGUGCUUAAUUCAAGGUCACAGAAUGUCGGGGAUGGACCUCCAGAUUUCCUUACUGGUCAUAGAAUUUUCCACACUCCUUGACGGAGGUUCUUAACCCUUAUCCAUCAGCAUUCUCAGACAGCACCUCCGGUUAGGGACAGUAUCUGACCGUCCGACAUCCCUGCAGCCCCCAUGCUGUCACACAGACUCAGCCUCAGGUAGAUGGUUUCCGUAGAUGGUGGCUUUCUUUGGACCCUUGAUAUCAACCAGUUACUAUUUGGGGACCAGAUGUGCAGAGGUAAUGAAUACCAGGGAAUCAGGAAACCACUGGAUCAGUUCUUUGAGCCAUAGAACAACACUCAUCCCAGCAGCUGGGAAGCUAUCUGCAAAAGUCCAUCUGCAGAAAGGGCUUCCUGGUCUUGCGUGUGGCUGGGCCAUUUCUCUGGAUGCAGGUUUUUCAUUAUACAGUCUUCUCAAAGGACCA